AAUCAACGCUGGCGGCGUGCCUCAGACAUGCAAGUCGAACGAUUAAAGCUCUCUUCGGAGAGUGUAUAGAGUGGCGCACGGGUGAGUAACACGUAAGUAAUCUACCUUCGAGUGGGGAAUAACACCGAGAAAUCGGUGCUAAUACCGCAUAAUGCAGCGGCAUCGCAAGAUGACAGUUGUUAAAGAUUUAUCGCCUGAAGAGGAGCUUGCGGCAGAUUAGCUAGUUGGUAAGGUAAUGGCUUACCAAGGCUACGAUCUGUAACCGGUCUAAGAGGACGGUCGGUCACACUGACACUGAAUAACGGGUCAGACUCC
This 315-nucleotide ribosomal RNA is filed under the name uncultured bacterium. Its description in RNAcentral is "bacterial SSU rRNA". It matches the Rfam family "Bacterial small subunit ribosomal RNA", at positions 32 to 339 of the family's 1533-position model. The record is from RNAcentral.